This 840-nucleotide ribosomal RNA is filed under the name uncultured eukaryote. RNAcentral describes it as "SSU rRNA". It matches the Rfam family "Eukaryotic small subunit ribosomal RNA", at positions 635 to 1426 of the family's 1831-position model. The record is from RNAcentral.
CGGUGUUCAACUGGCGUGCCCGCGGGACGUCCUGCCGGUGAGCUCAGCCCGCGAGGGCGGCUCAACUUGAAAUCCCAUCGCGGUGCUCUUCAUUGAGUGUCGAGGUGGGCCGGCACGAUUACUUUUGAACAAAUUAGAGUGCUUAAAGCAGGCUAAAAUUUUGCCUGAAUACUGUGUAUAUGGAAUAAUGGAAUAGGACCUCGGUUCUAUUUUGUUGGUUUUCGGAACCCCGAGGUAAUGAUUAAUAGGAACGGAUGGGGGCAUUCGUAUUGCGACGUUAGAGGUGAAAUUCUUGGAUCGUCGCAAGACGGACUAAAGCGAAAGCAUUUGCCAAAAACGCUUUCAUUGAUCAAGAACGAAAGUUAGAGGUUCGAAGGCGAUCAGAUACCGCCCUAGUUCUAACCAUAAACUAUGCCAGCUAGCGAUCCGCCGACGUCCCUCUGAUGACUCGGCGGGGCAGCUUCCGGGAAACCAAAGCUUUUGGGUUCCGGGGGAAGUAUGGUUGCAAAGCUGAAACUUAAAGGAAUUGACGGAAGGGCACCACCAGGAGUGGAGCCUGCGGCUUAAUUUGACUCAACACGGGAAACCUCACCAGGCCCAGACACUGGAAGGAUUGACAGAUUGAGAGCUCUUUCUUGAUUCAGUGGGUGGUGGUGCAUGGCCGUUCUUAGUCGGUGGAGCGAUUUGUCAGGUUAAUUCCGAUAACGGACGAGACUCUGACCUGAUAACUAGACGCACUUGCGGCAUCUCAAAGGUCCGCCGGCGGCUGGCUUUGCGCCCGUCGUCGCGCGCGAUUUUUACUGCCGGCGUACAAUAAAUUCUUCUUAGAGGGACAAGUGG